Molecule: non-coding RNA, 135 nt
Organism: Triticum aestivum (bread wheat)
Lineage: Eukaryota; Viridiplantae; Streptophyta; Magnoliopsida; Poales; Poaceae
Source: Rfam
AAAGUACUCCCUCCGUCCCAAAAUUCUUGUCUUAGAUUUGUCUAGAUACGGAUGUAUCAAGUCACAUUUUAGUAUUAGAUACAUCCAUAUGUAGACAAAUCUAAGACAAGAAAUUUGGGACAGAGGGAGUAGUUG